UAACUGGCCCUUUUCAGGGCCAUAUUUCCCAGUUUUAUACAAUGAGG
This is a non-coding RNA of Sarcophilus harrisii (Tasmanian devil), 47 nucleotides long. The record is from Rfam. Lineage: Eukaryota; Metazoa; Chordata; Mammalia; Dasyuromorphia; Dasyuridae.